AUAUAUUUUUUUUAUCAAAGAAAAAUGGUGCUUUUCAAAUGUUUUGGAAUUAAUUAGACGAGCUUUAGUUGAUGUGAUGCUUGUCUAUUACUUGAGUUUAUUGUUUUUGUGUGUGCUAAGAUUUUAAAAACACGUUUAGAUGCCGUCCGAUCCUUUCCGAUAAUUUUCUAGACUUUUUCGAGCUUUUUCCCAUUUUUUCCUAAAACAAAAUCUAUUUUUAUAUGCUCUAAAAUUCUUUUUUAUAGGCACCAAAAACAUUAUUUGGAUUGAUCAACUCUCAAUAUAUCUCUAAAAGUUUUCCUUUAAUUUUUAGAAUUUUGGAAAUAUUUUUCAGGGAUUUAAAAUGAUUUCAGCUUUUUCUGGAAUUAUUUUGGAACUGAAAAUGAUUUAUUUAAAAUCCCGAAAUUAAGAAAUUCUAAAACUUUUGCAAACCCUAGACCCAUAUAUAUGCCGGCGUAGCCCUCGACGCGCUGCUUUCAGAAGUACGAGCCUUUUUCCGAGCCGCCGCUCGUAGCUCCGUAGAUCCAUCGCCGAAGUUUCGGAUCUCGUUUCCGGCGAACUUUUCCGGCGAACGUUCGGCGAGCGUUUCCGGCCAUCUCCGGCAUCUCCAGCAGAAACCGUCACCAUCCCGAGAUGACAUCUUCUUCUUCGUUUCCGACCAUCGCGACCCUAUACGGCAUCACCGCGGCGUCACCGGCGACCCUGCGCCCCACGCUGUAACCCCCGCAGCACCCCGACCCGCGCCCCUUGGCGUGCUGCUGCGAGCAGGCAGGAGCCGCCGCUUCCUGCUCCGUGCAGUGCGUGCGAGCAGGCCACCCUGCACCGGCCCUAGCAGGCGGGCCGACCACCGCCGUAGCCUGGCACGGCCGCGCCGGCCGGCUACCCCCACGACCAGGCCAAGCUAGCCCUCCCUCUCUGGCGCGACGCAGCAGAUGCACAACCAUGGCCAGAACUUGACGUUCGUGAGAAGAAGAUGACCCAAGAAGAAGCGUGGUUCAUCAAUAGUGAAGACCAGGAGCUGAGGACCGACAGUCGAAGCAGAAGUUGGAGAUCAGAAGAAGGAAGUCAAAGAUUUCUGAGCAGUUAAACACUGGAAAUUAAGGCAAGUGCAGGCACCCUUUGAUCAUAUUGUACCUAUGAACUUUAAAUACAUUUACUUUCCAGUGCAUGUGUCUUAAUACUGCAAACCCUAAGGA
Molecule: long non-coding RNA, 1196 nt
Organism: Sorghum bicolor (sorghum)
Lineage: Eukaryota; Viridiplantae; Streptophyta; Magnoliopsida; Poales; Poaceae
Exons: 3
Source: RefSeq, a predicted model, not a curated record